RNAcentral lists this long non-coding RNA (529 nucleotides) under Felis catus (domestic cat). Its description in RNAcentral is "lncRNA (ENSFCAG00000050416.1)". The record is from RNAcentral. Lineage: Eukaryota; Metazoa; Chordata; Mammalia; Carnivora; Felidae.
CAGGAGAGAACAGGAGAUAUGGCUCACAUAUCAGCCAGGAGCCCUUCCUUUGCUUGUUGAGAAGUAACACAAUGAAGAUUCAAGGUGCUUUGUGUAGGAGAAGAUGGCCAUUUUGAUGAAGAAUCGGUCCUGUGGAUGCUAAUCCAUGAAUCUCUAAGGCUAAAGUUAUCCAGCAAGUGGCUUCUGUUGUAAGAAAACCAAUAUCACGUCCAUCCUGAGUAAGUUUACACAGUUACCUAACCUCUCCAUGUAAGUGAAAAUUCUAAUAUCUAACUUGGCAGUUGAGAGUGAAACGAGUUUAUUAAUCUGCAGACUGCUGGCAGAUGGUAUCCGUUCUCCAUUGUCAAAAUAAUGCCUUGUAACAAGUGACCACAAAACCUCAAGGGCAUGUGACAAUAAGUGUUUAUUGUUCGUGUGUUUGGGUCUGCUGGGGGUUGGCGAGAUGGUUUGGCUGAUCUAGGCUGGGCUUGAGCACAUUUCCGAGGCUUGCCUAGCUGUCAGCUGGCCGAUCGAGGCUGAGACAUCCGGG